CGGCGGACGGGUGAGUAAUGUAUGGGGAUCUGCCUGAUGGCGGGGGAUAACUACUGGAAACGGUAGCUAAUACCGCAUAAUGUCUACGGACCAAAGCGGGGGACCUCCGGGCCUCGCGCCAUCAGAUGAACCCAUAUGGGAUUAGCUUGUAGGUAAGGUAACGGCUUACCUAGGCGACGAUCCCUAGCUGGUCUGAGAGGAUGAUCAGCCACACUGGGACUGAGACACGGUCCAG
This 235-nucleotide ribosomal RNA is filed under the name uncultured bacterium. Its description in RNAcentral is "partial 16S ribosomal RNA". It matches the Rfam family "Bacterial small subunit ribosomal RNA", at positions 96 to 334 of the family's 1533-position model. The record is from RNAcentral.